Molecule: ribosomal RNA, 195 nt
Filed under: uncultured eukaryote
Lineage: Eukaryota
Description: partial 18S ribosomal RNA
Source: RNAcentral
AGAAAUGUCACCAGGUUCAGAAAUAUUGGACAGAUUUGUCGGUACAUGGCCGGUAUUAGUUGGUGGAGCGAUUUGACAAGUUAUUGCAGAUAACAAAGAGACUCUGUAAUGCUGAAUAGUUUCAGCUUUUCUUUUGAACCGACAAUUCUUGUUAGAGGGACUGGCAACUCUUAGUCACACGAGAUUGUGUAAUAA